AACGUGUUAUCUUAGUUUUAACAUUUUCUUAUGAUUAAAUAUGUUUGUGGUUCAUAUCAGCACUACUACUAUUUAUGGCCGGCUUUUCCCCGAUUUUCGCCUGUGUGCGCCGCUCGAAUGCACUGGGCGUUCUUCAGAAUUCACCGGUUGAAUUAACCCAUCGAGUUAGAAUCCUAAGGAGCCGUGAUCAUGUGAUCAAAAGCGGGCAUAGUCGGCGGAAUUUUUCGACACAAACGUCAAACAGCUGUUCGCGAAAGUUGUUUUGCUAUUUUUCACGUUUACGAGGUUUUUUUAAAGAUUAGGCGUUUUAUUUAGCUGAAAUAUUGGAAAAUAAUAAUGGUGUCAUGUGCUUUUCGUUCCUGCAAGAGCAGGGAUGGCGUAGAUAAGAAGAAAUCAUCAAAAAUUACAUUCCAUAGGUUUCCCAAAGAUCCGGCACUUCGUAAGAUUUUGAUUUGUAAGAUUGAGUUUGUAAAUGUAAAUAGAAUUGGCUGGAAUCCGACAAAAUAUAGUGUUUUGUGUUCUAAACAUUUUUCUGAGUCACACAUAAACCGAAGCUUAAGUAGUUAUGUUCGUUUAAGAGGAAAUGCUAUUCCAAACCUUUAUCCCUCUCAGGAGCGAGUGGACAAUCAGGAGUUUAAUAAAGCAGUUGAAGUUGAACCACCAAAUAUUAGUGUUCAAAUUUUAUCAAAUACUUCACCCCCGGUGAAGCAAGCACCUAAUAUUGGUUCAAUUGGUAAUGAAGGGGAUAAAACUAGUAAUAAUGCAGAGCCAGGGCCAUCUACUAUGAUGCAGGCAGGUGAUACUGGUGAUAUUACUCCCAGAAAAAGAAAGUUAAUUAACAAACUAGAUAAAACAUUACUAGUCAGUAGGGAGAGGAAAAGGAGAAUUAGGUCACUACAAAAAAACUAGUUCGAAGAGAAAAACGUAUUGGCACUAUGCAGGAGAUUAUUCAAGAGAUACGGAAGAAAAAAUUUAUGCAAGAAGAAUGUUUAGAUGUGAUUAACAAACUAGGCGGGGGACCUCAAGAAUUAUUUAUGAGGCAAUAUAAAAGAGCAAGAAACAAAGCAUUACCAAGAAAGUAUUCUGAAGAAUUAAAAGUAUUCGCUUUAACUCUUCAUUUCUAUUCUCCAGCCGCAUAUCAAAAACCUUUAGUUUGUGUUUACCUCACACAAGAACGUUAAAUCGGUGGUACCAAAGCAUCAACGGAGAACCUGGAUUUACCAGUGAAUCAUUUAAGGUUUUACAGCUAAAAGCUUCUGCUGAGAAAAAUCUAAUAAUAUGCAGCCUGAUUAUCGAUGAGAUGUCUAUUCGGCAACAUGCAGAAUGGGAUUCUGAAAAAGACAAGUGCUAUGGGUAUGUUGACCUAGGAACGGGAUCGAAAGAAACCUCUCUUGCUAAGGAUGCCUUGGUGUUCCUUUUAAAUUGUGUGAAUGGUUACUGGAAAAUUCCUGUGGGCUUUUUUUUUAUUGCCGGCAUGACUUCGAAACAGAAAAAGGAACUUGUGCUACAGUGUUUGGAAAAAUGCCAUGAAGUGGGUAUAAAGGUUGUCAGUUUGACAUGUGGUGGCCCACCUGUAAAUUUGGCCAUGGCAAAUCUUUUGAACCAUAAAAAUUUGAAAACCUUUUUUAAACAUCCCUCAAUAACCGAUGAUGGUGUUUUGUUUUUAGAUCCAUGUCAUAUGGUGAAGUUGCUUCGUAAUACUCUGGGUGAAAAGUGUUUAGUGAAAGUGUUGCCACUGCAUUAGCUUUUUGUGAAAAUGAACUCCAUUUAAAACAAUUCAUUGGAGCUGGGGCUACUACGAGAUUCAUGUUAAUAAUUAACAAUUUAUUCGAUAUUUUAAACUGUAGGA
RNAcentral lists this long non-coding RNA (1849 nucleotides) under Anthonomus grandis grandis. RNAcentral's name for it is "uncharacterized LOC126744346". The record is from RNAcentral. Lineage: Eukaryota; Metazoa; Arthropoda; Insecta; Coleoptera; Curculionidae.